GAGUUGGGAGAGGGAGGGCUUGCGGACCCCCUCCCCCCAUCUCUAGCCUUCGCUGCGCUAGAUCCCGCGUCCCCGCCGUGGUCCGGAGCUCCUUGCCCAGAAAGCGGGCUCUGGGGAGGUGCUUGUCACCUGACCCGUCCGGCGCUGCCCCAGGCCUCUGUGACUCUCCUGUAGCGGGUCUGGCCUAAGAGUAGAUGUCCCAGGGUGGGGGCCUGUUGCCAGGACUGUGGGUCUUCGAUGCCCCUUGCCCUUGACGGCAGGACAUGAUGAAGUCCCGUGGUGGGGGGUUCGGGGCUGAACCUACUGCCUGGUGGAGUUGGGGCGGCCUGUGUCCUCCAGUCGUGGGAUUUGUUGCUCAGUUACCGUGCACCCCAGGCCGGUAGAAUGACCCCUUUCUUCCCUGAGGAAGAAGUGUAUUGAGAGUCUUAUUAAACUAGGAUUGCCUCCUGCCAGGCCCAUUCCGAGUGGGUCUUCGAUUGCUCUUCCCCGCCCCCCUCUGAUGGGGUCCCCUAUGUUUCCCUCUUUGUUUCAAUUGUCUAAGUGUCCCCACCGAGCCUCAGGCCCAGCCUAGUGGCCAGAUGGUUUUCUGUAGCGACUUUUUGGCCCUGGGGAUACUCCAAAGGGGCAAGGGAACUGCAGCGACUGAGUCUUGUCGGAGGUUGGGUCCAGGUUAGCCUGGAGACAGUCUCUAGGUCUCUGGGCACAUGGGAGAGUGUGUCUAACAUGGCGGCGGCUGCGGGGAGAGGGAAGCGCUGUACAGGAGCUGCAUUGUGAGCACAAAGCGAAAGCAGCGGGGGAGGGCAGAGACCAGGCAGCCGCCCGACCAGCCUCCCUCGACCCCCCCCAUCAAGCCACACCCACUUUUUUUUUUUUUUGAUUGAAUGUUUAGCCAUUCUGAGUCGCAGGGUGAGAAAUACAUGUUCACGUCGGCCUUUUGUUUUCGCUUUCAGCCAGGACGGUGCGCAACUCUGUUUAGAUAGGGGCUCGUGUUUGUGGUCCGAAAGGGUCUGAGUAAAUAAUUCAAACCCAAGAUGAACGAUGAAAAGGGAGAAAACAAAUGAUUAGUACCAAAAAUGGGACAAUUACAUGUGACUUAUGUAUGCUAACUCGCUUCCUUAAAAAGUAAAAUAUAACUUUGCUUUGGCAACUUCUGGUUGUCCACCUUUAGUAUAACAUAACAUCGUGGAUUUUGAAAAAAAUCAUACUAAAAUGUUUAUUUAGCCAGCCACCUGAUAUUGUUACUUCAAGUUUUGAGAUAGCAACAAUUUGACUAAAAUUUGGCCUGUGGGAAAUGAGUGGGGGGAAAAAAACUGGUGAUAUUUAGGUCUUAAUGAAUUUAAUAGAUGAUUUACUAAUUUAUUUUACAUUUUUGGAGAGUUUUAGAACCGUUAAGCCUUAAUACUUUUCUGUCUCAUUUUCUUCAAUAUUGAGGGGUGGAGAUUUUACUUGAAUUUCCUGGACUUUGCAUUUCCUGGACUCAUGAAAUUGAGAGAUGCCUUAAUCUUGAGAUUUCUAGUUUUUUUCCAUAAUCCUUUCUUUGAUACAAGUGUGUUUCAUUGUAACUAAUGGAAUAAUAGACAUUAAAAAAGUAACAAACAUUUUAAGCAUAAAAUAGGUACAUUCAAGUAUGGAAUGGAGUAAGCUUGCCUUAUAACUAGUAUCUUCUAGCCUGCACAUGUGAUUUGGUUUUUGCAACUCUACUUGAAAUUGAAACUAACUUAGGUAUCUUUCAGUCCUCUUAAUGCAGUAAACAGUGCUGUCAAUCUCUGUGAUUGUUUUACUUUUCAGAAUUUCUAGGAAAUCUAGAAUAGGAAUCAGCCUAAGUAUGUAAUGAUAUAUUUUAUAGAUGUUUAUAUUAGUGACUAAAAAACUUUUCAAAGGUGAUCAUAUAAAAAGUCAGGUGCUGGUGAGCAGCCAGUCUGUGAGGUGACACAUUCUAGGGUUUAUGUGUAUGUGGGGGGAAAAAAAAAAGAAAUCUAGAAAAUUGAAUAAGUCCCGUGAGAGGACUUGAACUAUAAUUUGCCAGUGGUGUAUACAUGUGUAUUACUAUACAGUGACAUCCUUUUCUCCUAAAUUAGAGAAAGAGUAAUUAUUUAUUAUUACAGAGUUUUAUUGACUGGGCUAGUAAAUACUGAAAGGUUGUCUUGUAACAUGGAGAUUUAACAAACUGAACAAAAAUAGUAUUAUAAUUUUUUGUCUUAGUGUUGUGAGUGCUAAUUAGAGAAAAGGUCAAGUUACACUUAGGUGAGGCUUUUUGAUAAGCCACAUACUGAGCUGCCUACUUGUUAAAUAGUUGACAGCACUGAUGUGGUUUAAAACUAUGUAUUUUACUUUUGGGGAAUUUCAAGACAUUUAGAUUUUAACCUGUAUUUAGGUUUUCAGUUUUAAUUUUUUUUUUCUGUAACUAGAUGUUUGCUGUAUGAGAGGAUUUAAUAACUGAUUCACUUUUCAACAGGAGUGAGCAUUUCUCACGCACCUAAAAUAGGAUUUGCUUUACACAUCAGUUUUGAAUUCUUUUUAGUACCCCUUGUGGAGUAAAGAUAACUCUUCAACUGAAUUUGUAUUUACUUCAGUGAAUUUAGCAAUUUAUAUUUGAACUGUAUUUGAUUCUUAACCUAUUCACGUUGGAACCUUGUGGACCAAAUGCUCUUUUUCACUGGAUUGUAAAACCAAGUAUCCCAACAUAAAUUGGGAAUAGAUGUGUAAUAUCACUUUAAAACAUAAUUGUAUUUCAUAUAAAAAGCAAAGUUACUGUUCUUUUUCUAAUAACUUGAGACAUUAGAGGAAGGGAGUGCAUCUGUUCAGUGAGAAUAUAUGCUUAACAUUGAUGAAAUAUGAUCCUAUUAUGUAAUGCAACUAGAUGGCUUGGUGGUUUUUGAAAUUUGGGCUAAUAGCUGUUGCUGCUGCUGCUUCUUCUACAUCUUCCUCCUCCUCCUCCUCCUCCUCCUCCUCUUCCUCCUCUUCCUCCUCUUCCUCUUCCUCCUCCUUCCUGCUUUGCUGUCUCCUGCCUGCUUGCCAUGGACUGUUGCUUCUCUCUGAUGACCCUGUGCCCUGUCAUUAUGCCUUUGAGCCAGCCAACUAUGGACUGAAACCUCUACAAAUUAUAAACUGAAAUAAACCUUUCCUCCUUUAAAAAAAAAAAAAAAAAAGAAAUUUGGGCUAAUAAAGAAUACAUAAGUGUUUAUCAAAGAGAAGACAUACAGCUAUGAUAAAGAAUCAAAUGUAAAACUUCAUUUGCAAAUCUUUAUUAAAGUACAAGUAAUAUUGAAUUGAGUGAUUUUACUUCCUGGUUUAUUCAGUUCACUCAUACAUAACUGGGCCAUAGGCUAUGUAAGAUGGUGAUAUGAAACCAAGUCUUUAAUUUUAACUGAGGAGAGAGCUCAUCUGAUACUGUUAGAUGUAAUCAGUUUUGAUGUAGAAUAAAGAAUGUUUUAAUAGAUGACAUUUUAAAUUGAUAUACUCUUGGUGUAAGUAUAAUAGAUUUAGACUGUAGUGACUUUGGUAGGUGAAAGAUUAACCAGUGUUCUCUUGCUUAGAAAAAUAAAACCCCCUGGCAGCUUUGUACCCAGUAUGUAACCAAAACUGAUAGCCAAAAGUGUAGUGUUCCACUCCCUAAAGACAUAUCUUUGCAGUUAAUAUUAUCCAUAGAAAGGAUGCAAAUUGUGAUUGAGGAUAACAUUUUUCUAGAAUAUUGCAGUGUGCCUAUACUUAGAGUUUUUAUGCAGCUGUAGUACAGAAUUUAUAUUAAGUACUUAGAAAUAAGCCCAUCCUAAACUUUUUUUUUUUAUCCUGUUUUAUAAGUAGAAUGUGUUCUUGGGUUAACAUCUGAAGUUUUUCUUGACAUUUGGGAUUCUGAUGUGUUAGCUUUUCUAUUGGUUGCAAGAUGUAUUAUUCCUCUGCAAUGCAGAGGGCAAGGUUACUUGGUUUUGCAUUCACCUUGUCUCAGAAAGCUGUAGUGCUUAGCAUGAGGGCAGGGUUAUUUUAUUUUGCAUUCACUUUGCCAGAGGAAAAAAAAGUUAAAAUACUUAAUUUGUUUCUGGUUGUGAGUGUGUGUGUGUGUGUGUGUGUGUGAGACAGAGGUAUUUGAAAAAGUUAGGCUAUGAAUGUCUUCAUAGGACAGUAUUGGUACUUCUUCUGGAGUGAGAGUGGAAUCCUAAAUAUUGCAAUGAGAAGGGUUUUUUUGUUGUUGUUUUUGUUGUUUUUUAAGGCAGGGUCCAGUGCUGUAUGUAGCUCAGGCUGGCUUAGAAUUUACUAUGUAGCCCAGGCUGGCCUUGAACUUUUCAAUCCUGCUGCCUGAGCCUCCCGAGUGCUGAGAUUACAGGCAUACACCACCACGCCUGGUGGGUUUUUUUAAUCUAGCCAAAUUAUUUUACUCUAGGAUAUUCUUGAUUUUUUUUUUUUUUUUUUUUUGGUACCAGGGAUUGAACCCCAGGGUCUCCUUUUUCUCACAAGGAAGUGCUCUACCACUUAGUGACCCCAAACCCCCACCCCAUCUUGUGGCAGAUCUCUGAAUGAGAACACAUUUUGUGUGAUUUACAGAUUAAAUGUACACUUUGCCAUGAUUUUAAGUUUAACAUUCUUAAUUUGUAUUUUGGGCUAGGUGAAGAUAGUACUUUCACUUUUUAAACAAGUGAACAAAUAUUUUUACUUUGAAAAGGUUAAACUUUACAACAGAUUUGUCAUGGCUUUAUUUUCUAUUACUAUACUGUUAAAAGCGUCUAACAUUUUUGUUAGAGCUUAAAGCCACCUUAGAAUUUUGUGUAAUUUGCUUUAUAGAAGAACUAGAAAUGGUUAUAUGAAGUGAGCCAGGUUGAGAUGGGUGAUUUCUAGGGUUGCUUUUUUUUUUUUCAUUAAGUUUAUUGGUACAUUUUAGGUAUACAGUACAGUUACAUUCACCAUUGGGAUCUUGUACCUUUACAUGAUGUAUCUUGGUUCUUUUUCCCCAUUCCCCUGCCCUCUCUAGGGGUUCUUGUAAUGCUUUAUGAGGGUCUCUUAUAAUGUUCUCCAAUUUUAGUUCUUAGGGUUAUUGUGUUGAUCCAGGUAAGCCCCAACUGCCUAUCUGCCAGUCUCUACUCAAGCUUGGCAUGUUGCAACCUGAAAAACUUUGGGAAAGCAUUAUUGGCAGAGAGAAGUAACGUGACAACCUUUCAACCUAAAUUCUUGGAUUCUAAGCUUCUCCUGGAUGUCUAGUAAUUGCUGCUUUUUUUCUGGGAGAAAUAAAUGAUAAUACUGGGGAUUGAACUCAGGAUCUUGCACUUGCAAGGCAGGCACAGUGCCAUCGAGCUAAAUCCCCAGCCCUUCACCUUGCAAUUUUGAGGACUACAUUUGGCCAAGGAACCAUGGUCUACCUUUUAAUAAUCCCCUCUUGCAGAUUUUUGAGGUUUUUAUGAGUUCUUCCCCACAAACCUAUUUUUUUGUGGUUCAGCAGUCCUCCCUUUAAAAAUCUUGGAUUUGAAAUUAUUAUGGAUUGGAAACUAGAAACAUGUUAACAAUAAUAAUAAAGUCAAAGUAAAUAGAUAUAUGAGUUCAAUAAAAUGUAUAGAUUGUA
Non-coding RNA from Heterocephalus glaber (naked mole-rat), 5548 nucleotides. The record is from RefSeq and is a predicted model, not a curated record. Lineage: Eukaryota; Metazoa; Chordata; Mammalia; Rodentia; Bathyergidae.